GAUGAACGCUGGCGGCGUGCCUAAUACAUGCAAGUCGAGCGAACGGACGAGAAGCUUGCUUCUCUGAUGUUAGCGGCGGACGGGAGAGUAACACGUGGAUAACCUACCUAUCAGACUGGGAUAACUUCGGGAAACCGGAGCUAAUACCGGAUAAUAUUUUGACCCGCAUGGUUCAAAAGUGAAAGACGCUCUUGCUGUCACUUAUAGAUGCAUCCGCGCUGCAUUAGCUAGUUGGUAAGGUAAAGGCUUACCAAGGCAACGAUGCAUAGCCGACCUGAGAGGGUGAUCGGCCACACUGGAACUGAGACACGGUCCAGACUCCUACGGGAGGCAGCAGUAGGGAAUCUUCCGCAAUGGGCGAAAGCCUGACGGAGCAACGCCGCGUGAGUGAUGAAGGUCUUCGGAUCGUAAAGCUCUGUUAUGAGUGAAGAACAUAUGUGUAAGUAACUGUGCAGAUCUUGACGGUACCUAAUCAGAAAGCCACGGCUAACUACGUG
RNAcentral lists this ribosomal RNA (497 nucleotides) under uncultured bacterium. RNAcentral describes it as "partial 16S ribosomal RNA". It matches the Rfam family "Bacterial small subunit ribosomal RNA", at positions 28 to 507 of the family's 1533-position model. The record is from RNAcentral.